This 460-nucleotide ribosomal RNA is filed under the name uncultured bacterium. RNAcentral's name for it is "partial 16S ribosomal RNA". It matches the Rfam family "Bacterial small subunit ribosomal RNA", at positions 338 to 795 of the family's 1533-position model. The record is from RNAcentral.
CCUACGGGUGGCAGCAGUGAGGAAUAUUGGUCAAUGGACGAGAGUCUGAACCAGCCAAGUAGCGUGAAGGAUGACUGCCCUAUGGGUUGUAAACUUCUUUUAUAUGGGAAUAAAAUGUUCCACGUGUGGGAUUUUGUAUGUACCAUAUGAAUAAGGAUCGGCUAACUCCGUGCCAGCAGCCGCGGUAAUACGGAGGAUCCGAGCGUUAUCCGGAUUUAUUGGGUUGAAAGGGAGCGUAGGUGGAUUGUUAAGUCAGUUGUGAAAGUUUGCGGCUCAACCGUAAAAUUGCAGUUGAAACUGGCAGUCUUGAGUACAGUAGAGGUGGGCGGAAUUCGUGGUGUAGCGGUGAAAUGCUUAGAUAUCACGGAGAACUCCGAUUGCGAAGGCAGUUCACUGGACUGCAACUGACACUGAGGCUCGAAAGUGUGGGUAUCAAACAGGAUUAGAUACCCCUGUAGUC